CCUAAAUGGAGAGUUUGAUCCUGGCUCAGGACGAACGCUGGCGGCGUGCCUAAUACAUGCAAGUCGAGCGGAGUUGAUAGAGUGCUUGCACUCUUGAUGCUUAGCGGCGGACGGGUGAGUAACACGUAGGUAACCUGCCCGUAAGACUGGGAUAACAUUCGGAAACGAAUGCUAAUACCGGAUACACAA
This 189-nucleotide ribosomal RNA is filed under the name Paenibacillus algorifonticola. RNAcentral describes it as "16S rRNA. Bacterial SSU". It matches the Rfam family "Bacterial small subunit ribosomal RNA", at positions 1 to 180 of the family's 1533-position model. Lineage: Bacteria; Bacillati; Bacillota; Bacilli; Caryophanales; Paenibacillaceae. The record is from RNAcentral.